AACAAGACUGGAGAAGCUCAAAGAAUUGAGUUCGAAAAAAAAUGGAGAAAGAUUAUCAGGCGUUAAUGAAGACGGAAGAAAGAACCAUAAGAGAACUGAGCCAAACAUUAGGUUAUGAAGAAAAGCUUGGGAAAGAAUCCAUGAUAAUGGCAAAAUCAAGGUGAUAUUGAUUUUCUUCCAAUAUAUUUUUUUUCAUAUUGCUUUUAUAACUUUUAAUUUAAUUAUUCUUUUUUUGAUAUGCAACAAUUUUGACCCGCGUUUUAUUAUGGAAAAG
RNAcentral lists this long non-coding RNA (274 nucleotides) under Lathyrus oleraceus (garden pea). RNAcentral describes it as "Pisum sativum (pea) long non-coding RNA (PSAT_LNC025351)". Lineage: Eukaryota; Viridiplantae; Streptophyta; Magnoliopsida; Fabales; Fabaceae. The record is from RNAcentral.